GAUGAACGCUGGCGGCGUGCCUAAUACAUGCAAGUCGAGCGAACAGAUGAGGAGCUUGCUCCUCUGACGUUAGCGGCGGACGGGUGAGUAACACGUGGAUAACCUACCUCUAAGACUGGGAUAACUUCGGGAAACCGGUUCUAAUACCGGAUAAUAUAUUGAACCGCAUGGUUCAAUAGUGAAUGACGGUUUUGCUGUCACUUAUAGAUGGAUCCGCGCCGCAUUAGCUAGUUGGUAAGGUAACGGCUUACCAAGGCAACGAUGCGUAGCCGACCUGAGAGGGUGAUCAGCCACACUGGAACUGAGACACGGUCCAGACUCCUACGGGAGGCAGCAGUAGGGAAUCUUCCGCAAAGGGCGAAAGCCUGACGGAGCAACGCCGCGUGAGUGAAGAAGGUCUUCGGAUCGUAAAACUCUGUUAUUAGGGAAGAAAAAAAGUAUAAGUAAAUAUGCACGUCUUGACGGUACCUAAACAGAAAGCCACGGCUAACUACGUG
This 497-nucleotide ribosomal RNA is filed under the name uncultured bacterium. Its description in RNAcentral is "partial 16S ribosomal RNA". It matches the Rfam family "Bacterial small subunit ribosomal RNA", at positions 28 to 507 of the family's 1533-position model. The record is from RNAcentral.